Long non-coding RNA from Mesocricetus auratus (golden hamster), 1751 nucleotides. RefSeq lists it as uncharacterized. The transcript is spliced from 2 exons. Lineage: Eukaryota; Metazoa; Chordata; Mammalia; Rodentia; Cricetidae. The record is from RefSeq and is a predicted model, not a curated record.
GCCUCCUCCCUCUGGCCUGCGCGCCGCGUGUGCGCGCCGGAGCGUGUGUGAGUGUGUACGAGGCGGAGUGUGUGUGUGUGUGUGUAUGUAUGUGUGUGCGUGCGUGCGUGAGUGUGUGUAUGUGUGUGUGCGCCCGGGGCACCGCCGGCGCCGCCCGCUCGCCGCCGAGCGCCAAGGCCACUGUUACUGCCGCGCCCACUGCCGGCCGCACUCCGCACUGCAGCCCUGGACUAGCCACCGCCGCCCGGUGCCGCCCCGAGGGCACGGCCGCCGCCCCGCAAACCCCAAGCGCUCGCGAAGCCCCGCUUGGAAGGAUCGCGGAGCUCCACGGCUAGGUUCGUUCAGAUUAUGGAAGAUGUGACUCACUCGGCUCGUGAGCCACGGGUGGCGGUGGACUCGCACGCCACAGGGUCGCCCAGCUGGCCACCUCCUCCGAGGUGCCCUCUGACUCCGUUCCGAAAGGCGUGGAGAUCCUACCCGGGUUUUCCGCUUGGUGGCCGCUCGAGGGCGUUAGCUCUGGACUGGGAACAGCGGAGGACCUAGGAAGAAGGGUUGGUGGGUAUCAAAACCAGGAAUGGAAUCUGUUGCCUGCGCUGGGCCUCGGCCUGACAGUCUUGUCUUUCCCAGAGCUGGUGCGCUGCAGGAACAGAUAGGACUAGAAUCUCCACCUUCCGUGGGGUACUACGCAUCGCAACCUUUCCCAUCUAUCCCAGCUCCGGGAGCAAAGAGAGCAGCUGUUCAGCCCCUCUUCAUUCCUCUCUCGACCCUGUUCUCCCGGGCCUCCCCUUUCAUUUGUCCCAGUGUGCCCCUGAAAGAAAUGAAAUCCCCUUCUCCUGUCAACCUUGAGGACUCUUGGCGCGCUCUCUGCUAUCUGCUCCCUUGAUCUGUUUAACAUUUUCCAAAUCUGGAGGACUCCGUUUUUCUCUACAGAACUGAGACUAUUUGCUUCUGGGGCAAGGAAGAGGCAGAAUCAUGUCCCAAGAACUUUGAAGGCCCAGGACCGAACCAUGGGGAUCAGAGAGAUGCUGUAUACUCUCCAUUCUCAUGUUUUGCUUGUUGAAGAAAUCACUUCAGAAGAAAUCUAACCUCAAACCAUUUUGCUACAUUUGAAGGCUAUUCUCUCCUGAUGUUGCAUCCUGAGAGCUCAGCCAGUCGGGAGCUCCUGCCUUCUAAGCACUCACAAGGACUAGGCAGAGGCAGGAAAUGGAUUCUGCAGGAGAGCUCAGGUCCUUGGACAAAGAACCCAGGAGACUGUGAAUUACUCACCCCCCAACCCUGCCCUCAGGCCCUGACUCUUCUUAGAAGAGGUCCUGGGCCUCUGGAGGGGGCCUUCAGAAGAGGCCCUUUCCUUCCAGAUGGGCCCCUAUGUCCUGAGUUCCAUGACGUGAAGGAAGCAUUCAGAGCACCUAGUCGCCCAAGGAUUGGCUUGCUGCAUGCCUUGGACCCCUCAGGCCUGUUUCCCAUCUGGUGCAGUCAUUGAAAUCAGGUGUCCUGGGUCAGCUGCAGGCUGAGAGUAAGAGCAGGGAGGGACAUUUUGUCCCUCUGGAGCAGAUGCCAGGCCUCCUCUCUCCCAAACAGGGCCCCCGAGGCCACCUGGCUAUGUUGCUAGGCCACGACAUGGAGGCAGGACUCCUGGGUCCGCCAGCUUCUUUGCUGGCGUGAUCUCCACGCUGCUGUUUCCCUACAGUGCCUGUCCCCUCACCCCCACCCACCAGACUACAGGAUGAAUUAUUAAUAAAAAUGCUGAGGAA